AUGUUAAGCGUGAAGGAUAACGUUGCGCCAGCAACGGCCCGUAGGGCGAGCGAAGCGAGUCAUCCUGCACGACCCACCA
Molecule: small RNA, 79 nt
Filed under: Escherichia coli
Lineage: Bacteria; Pseudomonadati; Pseudomonadota; Gammaproteobacteria; Enterobacterales; Enterobacteriaceae
Description: partial RtT sRNA
Rfam family: RtT RNA
About the family: This family represents a bacterial cis-regulatory element known as RtT RNA. The exact function of RtT is unknown although it is thought that it may be involved in changing the cellular response in relation to amino acid starvation.
Source: RNAcentral